AUUUGGAGGGAUUCUAUGAAGAGCUGCCUAUUGUAAAAGAAGUAGCUGUUGAUAACUCGGUCAGUGUUUCAGUUAGAAAGUGUCCUGAAACAACCAAAUAUCUUUUGUAUUUGGAAACUGAUCUACCUGGAGAUGUUAUUGUUCAUUGGGGAGUGUGCAGAGAUGAGACUAGGAAAUGGGAGAUUCCAGCUGCUCCUCACCCUCCGGAAACAACAGUAUUCAAGAACAAAGCCUUGCGUACCUUACUGCAGCCGAAAGAAGGGGGGAAGGGAUGUUGUGGAAUUUUUACCGUAGAAGAAGAUUUUAGAGGAUUCCUUUUUGUUCUCAAGCAGAAUGAGAACUCUUGGUUAA
Molecule: unclassified non-coding RNA, 351 nt
Filed under: Hevea brasiliensis (rubber tree)
Lineage: Eukaryota; Viridiplantae; Streptophyta; Magnoliopsida; Malpighiales; Euphorbiaceae
Source: RNAcentral